Molecule: long non-coding RNA, 172 nt
Organism: Rhipicephalus microplus (southern cattle tick)
Lineage: Eukaryota; Metazoa; Arthropoda; Arachnida; Ixodida; Ixodidae
Source: RefSeq, a predicted model, not a curated record
GUGCGUCGCCAUAGCCGAUGGUGGAAGCGACAGAAAGGGGAGCUUGAUACGACAGCCACUUCUGCUACUCCUAAUGACACGCCAGAGUUGCAGGAUCCUCCCAAUGAGAAUCUCAACAUGGACACUAGUGCUGCACAGGAUGGUGUACUAGAUGAGAAUUCAGUGGACCUGC